CAGCCGCGGUAAUUCCAGCUCCAAUAGCGUAUAUUAAAGUUGUUGCAGUUAAAAAGCUCGUAGUUGAAUUUCGGGAUCAAUAUAUCGGUCGUGCCAUCGGUACGUACUGGUAUCAUUGGUUUCUCCUUUCUGACGAACCAUGAUGUCAUUAAUUUGGUGUUAUGGGAAGUUAGGACUGUUACUUUGAAAAAAUUAGAGUGUUUAAAGCAGGCUUUAGCUUGAAUACAUUAGCAUGGAAUAAUGAAAUAGGACGUUCGAACCUAUUUUGUUGGUUUCUAGGAUCAACGUAAUGAUUAAUAGGGAUAGUUGGGGGCAUUAGUAUUCAAUUGUCAGAGGUGAAAUUCUUGGAUUUAUUGAAGACUAACUACUGCGAAAGCAUUUGCCAAGGAUGUUUUCAUUAAUCAAGAACGAAAGUUAGGGAUCGAAGACGAUCAGAUACCGUCGUAGUCUUAACCAUAACUAUGCCGACUAGGGAUCGGAUGAUGUUAAUUUUAUAAUGACUCAUUUGGCACCUUACGGGAAAC
Molecule: ribosomal RNA, 524 nt
Filed under: uncultured Glomeromycotina
Lineage: Eukaryota; Fungi; Glomeromycota
Description: SSU rRNA
Rfam family: Eukaryotic small subunit ribosomal RNA
Source: RNAcentral